Molecule: ribosomal RNA, 253 nt
Filed under: uncultured bacterium
Lineage: Bacteria
Description: partial 16S ribosomal RNA
Rfam family: Bacterial small subunit ribosomal RNA
Source: RNAcentral
UACGAAGGGUGCUAGCGUUGCUCGGAAUCACUGGGCGUAAAGCGCACGUAGGCGGCUCUUUAAGUCAGGGGUGAAAUCCUGGAGCUCAACUCCAGAACUGCCUUUGAUACUGAGGAUCUUGAGUCCGGGAGAGGUGAGUGGAACUCCGAGUGUAGAGGUGAAAUUCGUAGAUAUUCGGAAGAACACCAGUGGCGAAGGCGGCUCACUGGCGCGGUACUGACGCUGAGGUGCGAAAGCGUGGGGAGCAAACAGG